RNAcentral lists this ribosomal RNA (480 nucleotides) under uncultured bacterium. Its description in RNAcentral is "SSU rRNA". It matches the Rfam family "Bacterial small subunit ribosomal RNA", at positions 26 to 517 of the family's 1533-position model. The record is from RNAcentral.
AGGACGAACGCUGGCGGCGUGCCUAACACAUGCAAGUCGAACGCGCUCCAUUCGGUAGCAAUACUGAUGAAGAGCGAGUGGCGAACGGGUGAGUAGCACGUGAGCAACCUGCCCCGAAGACUGGGACAACACCGGGAAACCGGUGCUAAUACCGGAUAUCCCUAUCGGACCGCAUGAUCUGAUAAGGAAAUGGAUUCCGCUUCGGGAGGGGCUCGCGGCCUAUCAGCUAGUUGGUGGGGUAACGGCCCACCAAGGCAUCGACGGGUAGCUGGUCUGAGAGGACGAUCAGCCACACUGGGACUGAGACACGGCCCAGACUCCUACGGGAGGCAGCAGUGGGGAAUCUUGCGCAAUGGGCGAAAGCCUGACGCAGCAACGCCGCGUGGAGGACGAAGGCUUUCUGAGUUGUAAACUCCUUUCAGCAGGGACGAUAGUGACGGUACCUGCAGAGAGCACCGGCCAACUACGUGCCAGCAGCCG